This 375-nucleotide ribosomal RNA is filed under the name Triticum aestivum (bread wheat). Its description in RNAcentral is "partial small subunit ribosomal RNA". The record is from RNAcentral. Lineage: Eukaryota; Viridiplantae; Streptophyta; Magnoliopsida; Poales; Poaceae.
AUGGAUAUGGAACACAAAACACCAAAAAAAUUAGUGGUACUUGCUACUCAUGGAGAUGGGGAACCUCCUAAAACCCUCGAUGCUCGUUAUGUGAAAUAUGUUAUGCACUACUUUGAUAAUCCUGAGAAAACCCCAUUCAACUUGAUAAUGGGAGUAACGUUGGAUCAACAUGAAUACUUUAGGGAUUAUUGCUUGACACAAAAAGGGAAAUUGUUAUGGGAUCAAAUUCAUAUGUUGCAUUGGUAUGCUCGGGAGCUAUGCUUGAGAUAUGAUUAUACUUGUUGCUCUAGGAUGAAUGCUCCACACCUUCCCUUUUCAUGCAAAUUUAAUGAUAAUGAAACCUUAGCUUCUUAUGCUAAUGGUAUAUAUGAUUAA